This 408-nucleotide ribosomal RNA is filed under the name uncultured bacterium. RNAcentral's name for it is "partial 16S ribosomal RNA". It matches the Rfam family "Bacterial small subunit ribosomal RNA", at positions 28 to 526 of the family's 1533-position model. The record is from RNAcentral.
GACGAACGCUGGCGGCGUGCCUAAUACAUGCAAGUCGACCUUAGUGGCGAACGGGUGAGUACCACGGGGGUAACCUGCCCAUCAGAAGGGGAUAACACUUGGAAACAGGUGCUAAUACCGUAUACUGAUGGAUGGACCCGCGGUGCAUUAGCUAGUUGGUGAGGUAACGGCUCACCAAGGCCACGAUGCAUCGCCGACCUGAGAGGGUGAUCGGCCACAUUGGGAUUGAGACACGGCCCAAACGCCUACGGGAGGCAGCAGUAGGGAAUCGUCGGCAAUGGACGAAAGUCUGACCGAGCAACGCCGCGUGAGUGAAGAAGGUUUUCGGAUCGUAAAACUCUGUUGUUAGAGAAGCGGUAUCUAACCAGAAAGCCACGGCUAACUACGUGCCAGCAGCCGCGGUAAUUC